RNAcentral lists this ribosomal RNA (820 nucleotides) under Herminiimonas sp. SOK17b. RNAcentral's name for it is "bacterial SSU rRNA". It matches the Rfam family "Bacterial small subunit ribosomal RNA", at positions 54 to 869 of the family's 1533-position model. Lineage: Bacteria; Pseudomonadati; Pseudomonadota; Betaproteobacteria; Burkholderiales; Oxalobacteraceae. The record is from RNAcentral.
CAUGCAGUCGAACGGCAGCACGGGAGCUUGCUCCUGGUGGCGAGUGGCGAACGGGUGAGUAAUAUAUCGGAACGUACCCUAGAGUGGGGGAUAACGCAGCGAAAGUUGCGCUAAUACCGCAUACGAUCUACGGAUGAAAGUGGGGGAUCGCAAGACCUCAUGCUCAUGGAGCGGCCGAUAUCUGAUUAGCUAGUUGGUAGGGUAAAAGCCUACCAAGGCUUCGAUCAGUAGCUGGUCUGAGAGGACGACCAGCCACACUGGAACUGAGACACGGUCCAGACUCCUACGGGAGGCAGCAGUGGGGAAUUUUGGACAAUGGGCGCAAGCCUGAUCCAGCAAUGCCGCGUGAGUGAAGAAGGCCUUCGGGUUGUAAAGCUCUUUUGUCAGGGAAGAAACGGUGGACUCUAAUACAGAUCACUAAUGACGGUACCUGAAGAAUAAGCACCGGCUAACUACGUGCCAGCAGCCGCGGUAAUACGUAGGGUGCAAGCGUUAAUCGGAAUUACUGGGCGUAAAGCGUGCGCAGGCGGUUUGGUAAGACAGAUGUGAAAUCCCUGGGCUCAACCUAGGAAUUGCAUUUGUGACUGCCCGACUAGAGUGUGUCAGAGGGGGGUAGAAUUCCACGUGUAGCAGUGAAAUGCGUAGAGAUGUGGAGGAAUACCGAUGGCGAAGGCAGCCCCCUGGGAUAACACUGACGCUCAUGCACGAAAGCGUGGGGAGCAAACAGGAUUAGAUACCCUGGUAGUCCACGCCCUAAACGAUGUCUACUAGUUGUUGGGUCUUAAUUGACUUAGUAACGCAGCUAACGCGUGAAGUAGAC